ACUAGCGUCCGUGGCCACGUCUCCUUUUUGCUUUUUGCGCGUGAAUUACUGUAGCAGCAUGGAGAUGGGGCGCUCGGGACUCUUUCCCCUCCUCUUGCCUCCGCGAUUGCCUCCUCCCCUCUCCUCUCUCUCUCUCCCGUCUCCUCCCUCUCAACCCUCGCUGCCACCACCCACCCUCUACUGCUCCACCACGCACCCUCCUCCCCUCUGGAUCAGGUGCAGGCCAGCCGGUGCGCGCAGGCGGCGGCGCUCCACUCGAGGGCAAAGGGAGGCAACGGCGACGGUAGCCGCCGUGGACACCCGCGGCUAUGACGAACCCCGCCGCCAGGAGGCCGCCAUGGAGGCCCGUCCCGAGCUCGCGUCACCGCUCCUCCGGUGACCCUCGUUGCGCCUGGAUCCGGGCGGAUCCGACGAUUCCCCAACGCGCAGGCGGGCCAGCACGCGACGCUAGGCGGAGGAGCCCUCCCAUGGCAGUGUCAAUGGUGGUGGGUUUGCCAUAGGAUAUGCACUGGCCAGUGUGCGCAUGCCGGUGUACGCGCACAUGAUGUACCUCAAGAUCUCAGUUCUCACUAUGACCAUAGGUAUGCUCAAUGGUUUGGCCUGAACUUUAAAUUAGUCAUGUGCUGCAUUUGUGGUCAUGCAGGUGCAGCUAACAACAGAAAUCCAAUUGAUGACUGUUGAUUAUGCUAUUGCUUAUGGGGCCUUUCUUAAGAGUUGAGAAGUGAAUAGGCAGAGCAACAGCAAAGGCCUGCCGGUGUGAAUUUCUCAGAAUGGGAAUUGCUACAGUGGCGGCGACGACACAUCAGCAGCGGCGGUGCAGCAGUAUGGUACCCUGCCUCCACCUUGCCACCAGCCUCCUCUACCUCGCGAUGGUGGCGUCUCCGACCUCCAACUCUGGCAUUCAAGACCUGGCAGGGCUGGGUCAACCGGCCCUUCGUGUUCAAGACCCGGCUCUGAUGAGCCUUGACAGCCGUGCUACCUGCUUGGCAUAUUCAUCCUGAGCUGUGUCCGGAACCAGACCAGUAGGGGCACCCUGAGCGAGCACUCGAGGCAUGCUGUCAAGUUGGACGAGUGCAACCAGGCCAGCUGCCGUGUGUGUCCAUGGUUCAUACAGCAAGGUGUUCGCUCAUCCUUGGCCAGAACGAGCACUACAAGAGGAACCCCCCCUGCAUAUUUUUCAUUCCUUGAUAGAUGGUUACAUUGUUGUAUGUUGGUUAAAGACAAUGUUUUUCUUCUCGAAUUAUGAAACCUCAAACAACACUAAGAUAUAACCGUUUUGUUCGUUUUGCAAUCAAAGCUUCCAUCGAAUAAUGUUUUAGAAUUGUGCUCCGUCUUAUUCAUAAAGUGUGGCUAUUUUGUAGAUUCAUACAAGA
RNA transcript from Triticum aestivum (bread wheat), 1373 nucleotides. RefSeq lists it as uncharacterized. The transcript is spliced from 5 exons. The record is from RefSeq and is a predicted model, not a curated record. NCBI's taxonomy places the organism in Eukaryota, Viridiplantae, Streptophyta, Magnoliopsida, Poales, Poaceae.